UACGGAGGAUGCGAGCGUUAUCCGGAUUUAUUGGGUUUAAAGGGUGCGCAGGCGGCGUGUCAAGUCAGCGGUAAAAUGUCGGGGCUCAACCCCGGCCGGCCGUUGAAACUGGCGUGCUCGAGUUGGAGAGAAGUAUGCGGAAUUCGUGGUGUAGCGGUGAAAUGCAUAGAUAUCACGAAGAACCCCGAUUGCGAAGGCAGCAUACCGGCUCCACACUGACGCUGAGGCACGAGAGCGUGGGUAUCGAACAGG
Molecule: ribosomal RNA, 252 nt
Filed under: uncultured bacterium
Lineage: Bacteria
Description: partial 16S ribosomal RNA
Rfam family: Bacterial small subunit ribosomal RNA
Source: RNAcentral